This 599-nucleotide ribosomal RNA is filed under the name Penicillium simplicissimum. RNAcentral's name for it is "eukaryotic LSU rRNA". The stretch from base 225 to 378 matches the Rfam family "5.8S ribosomal RNA". Lineage: Eukaryota; Fungi; Ascomycota; Eurotiomycetes; Eurotiales; Aspergillaceae. The record is from RNAcentral.
AAAGUCCGUAACAAGGUUUCCGUAGGUGAACCUGCGGAAGGAUCAUUACCGAGUGAGGGCCCUCUGGGUCCAACCUCCCACCCGUGUUUAUCGUACCUUGUUGCUUCGGCGGGCCCGCCUCACGGCCGCCGGGGGGCAUCCGCCCCCGGGCCCGCGCCCGCCGAAGACACCAAUGAACUCUUGUCUGAAGAUUGCAGUCUGAGCAGAUUAGCUAAAUCAGUUAAAACUUUCAACAACGGAUCUCUUGGUUCCGGCAUCGAUGAAGAACGCAGCGAAAUGCGAUAAGUAAUGUGAAUUGCAGAAUUCAGUGAAUCAUCGAGUCUUUGAACGCACAUUGCGCCCCCUGGUAUUCCGGGGGGCAUGCCUGUCCGAGCGUCAUUGCUGCCCUCAAGCACGGCUUGNGUGUUGGGCUUCGCCCCCCGGCUCCCGGGGGGCGGGCCCGAAAGGCAGCGGCGGCACCGCGUCCGGUCCUCNAGCGUAUGGGGCUUUGUCACCCGCUCUGUAGGCCCGGCCGGCGCCCGCCGGCGACCCCAAAUCAAUCUAUCCAGGUUGACCUCGGAUCAGGUAGGGAUACCCGCUGAACUUAAGCAUAUCAAUAA